AAAUUCCUUUUUGUGUGUGUGUAUCUCUAACCACCAUCUCUUCAAGAUUUAGAGUCAAGAUGUGAUUCCUUUACAUUAAUCAGAAGUAAAGACAUGAGCAAGUAUAUAAACUAGUGAAAAUGUUCGUACUGAAUUUGAAUUUGAAUUGAAUAUUGAAUUGAAGCGUAUUGAAUUUUGUCAUUACAGGGCUCAUCAUUAGUACGACUGCCUUUCUUUAAUAGAAACAAAGAAUAUUGAAGAGUUAUAGAUUUAGAUAUUAAAGAACUAAAGAUCACAUUAAAGAACACAAAAUGUAGCAGAAAAAAAGUAAGAGAUUUUCCCUGCAUUUGUGCACUGGUUAUGGCCUGUCCUUUCAGAUGAAGAAGUGUUGAUUCCCCUGAAAUUAAAUAUUUUCCAAGAUAGAGCAGGAAAACUACAGAAUUAUUUCAAGCACGUUAAUAUGGAUCAAAUCUCAGCAGGUGGAUUUGCUGAAGAAGAGAAGUGCUGAGGAUGCACUGUGCUGACCCACAUAUCAGUUCCCAACAGACUGUUCCAGCUGGUAUAGUUUAUGCUUAAAGCUAAAACAAAGCCAAUGAUUUUCCUUUUCCAUUACCUUCUGCUGAUGAAAUAGAAAAUAAUAUAAAUAUUGUCAAGUUUUCUUCUAGGAAGAUCUGUAAGCAAGUCUAUACUUAGUUACUUAUUUUUUUGUUUGGUGUGUUCUUCUUUUCUUCCCUUCUUAUUCUGUUUGAUUUCUUGUGUGAAUAGCAAAGACAAAUUUAGAAGUUUAAAAUUCAUUUUGUAUAUUUAUUAAAUUCAUCUACUGUGUUGUGCUUGUUUAAACACAAACAAUAAGCCUUGAACUUCAAUCUAAAAAGGAAAAGAAAAUAUUAGUCCAUUUUUGUUUUGUGCUUUUCACUUUCACAGAUGUUUAAAGCAGUAAAAGAGUAAGAUAUCUUAUAUUUUACCUAAAACUUAAGAGUUUUACCCAUUACCAGGUAUCUAUUCUGAAGCUUUUAAAGUUUGUUUAAAAAGUAUACUAAGAUUAAUGCAAUCGGAAAUUUGAUUUUCAUCUAAUUUGAGAUGCUUUAAAUCUCACAUUGUAAUUGUGUAUUUUGUUUAAUUAAUAACAUUUUGUCAGCUCGGAUCACUGUUAAAAAUAAUAUGAAGAAAAAUGAGAAGAAACAUAUUCCUCUUUAGUAAUCAAGGCUGUUGAAAUGAAAAAGUUUAAUUUUUGC
This 1214-nucleotide long non-coding RNA is filed under the name Anas platyrhynchos platyrhynchos (common mallard). RNAcentral describes it as "lncRNA (ENSAPLG00000029584.1)". The record is from RNAcentral. Lineage: Eukaryota; Metazoa; Chordata; Aves; Anseriformes; Anatidae.